ACUCACUCCUCCUCCGCCUCCAGCGCCACCUCGUAUCUCCUCAUUCCCGACAUGUCCUGGGCUCCGAACGUCUCCUGGGGAGCGGCAUGAUUGAAUCAGGGAUUCCCUAGCCCCAGGUCCCCUUCUCCGUCAUUCUCAGGACGAGGCUGCCCAGUUCUCAGGUGCAGGACAAUAGACAGAACUCAAAGUCAUCCCUCUGCUCACCUGAGACAAAUGUGUAUCUGAUUGCUGCUUCUGCCCUAUUGUUUAUGCAAAAAUGCAGAUCCACUGAGCCA
Molecule: long non-coding RNA, 275 nt
Filed under: Homo sapiens (human)
Lineage: Eukaryota; Metazoa; Chordata; Mammalia; Primates; Hominidae
Description: HSALNT0351749
Source: RNAcentral